Molecule: ribosomal RNA, 258 nt
Filed under: uncultured bacterium
Lineage: Bacteria
Description: partial 16S ribosomal RNA
Rfam family: Bacterial small subunit ribosomal RNA
Source: RNAcentral
UACGGGGGGAACGAGUGUUAUUCGUAAUGAUUGGGCGUAAAGGGUUUUUAGGCGAUUUGGCAAGUUAUUAAUCAAAUAGUAAGUUCCAAGCUUACUUAUGGGGUUUUAAUACUGUCUUAGUAGAGUUCGAAAGAGGUAUUACGGUACUCUCGAUGUAGAGGUAAAAUUCACAAAUAUUGAUGGGGACCAUCACUAGGCGAAGGCGGUAAUCUGGUUCGAUACUGACGCUGAAAGACUAAAGCAUGGGGAGCAAACGGG